RNAcentral lists this ribosomal RNA (497 nucleotides) under uncultured bacterium. RNAcentral's name for it is "partial 16S ribosomal RNA". It matches the Rfam family "Bacterial small subunit ribosomal RNA", at positions 28 to 507 of the family's 1533-position model. The record is from RNAcentral.
GAUGAACGCUGGCGGCGUGCCUAAUACAUGCAAGUCGAGCGAACAGACGAGGAGCUUGCUCCUCUGACGUUAGCGGCGGACGGGUGAGUAACACGUGGAUAACCUACCUAUAAGACUGGGAUAACUUCGGGAAACCGGAGCUAAUACCGGAUAAUAUAUUGAACCGCAUGGUUCAAUAGUGAAAGACGGUUUUGCUGUCACUUAUAGAUGGAUCCGCGCCGCAUUAGCUAGUUGGUAAGGUAACGGCUUACCAAGGCAACGAUGCGUAGCCGACCUGAGAGGGUGAUCGGCCACACUGGAACUGAGACACGGUCAAGACUCCUAAGGGAGGCAGCAGUAGGGAAUCUUCCGCAAUGGGCGAAAGCUUGACGGAGCAACGCCGCGUGAGUGAUGAAGGUCUUCGGAUCGUAAAACUCUGUUAUUAGGGAAGAACAAAUGUGUAAGUAACUAUGCACGUCUUGACGGUACCUAAUCAGAAAGCCACGGCUAACUACGUG